CUGGGGAAUCCGACUGCAUGCUUUAUACUCAUACGCUGUGAAUAUCCGCCGCACAUCCAGUGGAGAGCCUGGUUAUAUUUCGCUGCGACUGAACGAUCCGCAUCAGCGUGUGUCAUGUCGAGGAUUUUGAAGCGAAAGCAAAGCGCUCCUUCGUGGAGCCUAGACAGGUACAGCAUUACCGUCGUCAGCUUGUGCAGUGAGCUUCCGGAUUAAGUCUCGUAAAGAGCGCAACCCGCACUAUACGUUAUGUCACUCACAGGGCACUGCCGGCGGUAAGCCGGAGGAAUGGGGGGAGGUUGUCAAGUCAGCAUGGCCUUUAGAGGCAGGGCUACACACACGCCCCAGUGGUCAUUACAAAGGGCAGCGAAGCCCUGAGGUGGAGCGAAUUCCAGCAAAGCUGGUUGUAGUUCUACUUGCAGGCUCCCACCCGCAUGCAUGAAGCAGGAUUUGUUAGUAGACGGGCGUCAGCCAUAUUACGGCGAAUUCGUCCCCGGGGGAUCGUCACGACGCGCAUCCAGUCAUGGGAGUCUUUACCGCUCGACGCCAGUGCCCUA
RNAcentral lists this ribosomal RNA (554 nucleotides) under uncultured organism. RNAcentral describes it as "bacterial SSU rRNA". It matches the Rfam family "Bacterial small subunit ribosomal RNA", at positions 873 to 1437 of the family's 1533-position model. The record is from RNAcentral.